Molecule: long non-coding RNA, 1657 nt
Filed under: Cairina moschata (Muscovy duck)
Lineage: Eukaryota; Metazoa; Chordata; Aves; Anseriformes; Anatidae
Description: domestica (muscovy Duck (domestic type)) lncRNA (ENSCMMG00000014849.1)
Source: RNAcentral
NNNNNNNNNNNNUCGGGGUCGGGGUCGGGGUCGGGGUCGGGGUCCUCCCAGGGCCUACAGCAGCCCAGGGUCCCCACCGUACCUCCACGUCAGGCCCAGGAUCUUCAUCAUCAUCAUCAUUGACAUCCCCAUCACCACCACCACCAUCAUCAUCCUCAUCAUCAUCGCCACCAUCAUCAUCAUCAUCAUCAUCGAUAUCAUUGACAUCCCCAUCAUCAUCACCAUCAUCACCACCACCACUCAGAUCAACAGCCCCUUCCCCCCAUCAUCAUCAUCACCCUUCUCACCCUCAUCCCCACCACCAUCCCCAUCAUGGCCAUCAUCAUCAUCACCACCAUCAUCCCCACCAUCACCAUCCCCCCACCACUGUCACCACCACCAUCAUCAUCACCAUCAUCCCCAUCAUCAUCAUCACCACUACCAUCAUCCCCAUCAUCACCAGCCCCCCCCCACCAGCAUCAUCACCAUCUCCAUCAUUGACAUCGUCAUCGUCACCACCAUCCCCAUCAUCAUCGCCAUCACUGACAUCCCCAACACCACCACCACCCCCAUCGUCAUCACCAUCAUCACCAUCACCAUCAUCAUCGUCAUCACCAUCAUCACCAUCAUCAUCAUCACCACCAUCCCCAUCACUGCCAUCACUGCCAUCACCCCCAUCACCCCCAUCAUCAUCCCCAUCACCACCACCACCAUUAUCACCACCACCCCCAGCACCCCCAGCACCACCAUCAUCACCAUCAUCACCAUCACCACCAUCAUCACCAUCAUCACCAUCACCACCAUCACCACCAUCAUCACCAUCACCACCACCAGCACCACCAUCAGGAUGGGAGCAGGGCUCUGGCCUCAGCCCCGUGCACAGGGACGGGGACCGGAAUGGGGACAGGGACAUGGAUGGGGACACGGGGACACAGCGGACACACCACGAGAGGAUCCACGCGUGGGGCAGCACUCGGCUGUAUUUCAUCCGGGCAGGAUCCACCCGCCCCACGGCCACCCCCCCGCACCCCCUGAGCCCCCCCCGAGCCCCCCGGGAGCGCCGCAGCCCCCUGGAAAACGGGGGCAAGAAUAAAUCCGGCAGCGGGCAGCGCCCGGCGCCGGCUCAGCCGAAGGGACCCUUGGCGUUUUUGGGUUGGAAGAGGGGCUGCUCCACGGGCAGGGCGCCCAGGCACUCGGCGGGGCUGCAGUGCCCGGUUUUGCCCGGUGGUCCCGUGGCCCCCGGGGGGCCGGGGAUACCGGGGAUGCCCUGCUGGCCCACGGGGCCCGGCGGGCCCAUCUUCCCGUAGCCCGGUGGUCCCUGGGGGCCUGCGAGGGGAAAGAGAGGUGGAGGAAGGGGGCGCGGGGCAGGCGGUGCCCAGCAGGCGGGUGGGGGCGGGCGGGGGGCUCACCUGGGGGGCCUGGGGGGCCGCUGUCCCCCAUCAUCCCCACGCCUUUCUCCCCUUUCUCUCCUUUGGCGCCCGGUUCUCCUGGGGGAGAGGGGAGGAGGGUGAGACCCCGGCACGGGGGGUGUUUGGGGACCCCCCAGUUUUUGGGGACACCCCGGUGCCCGGGGACACCGAGGACACCGCGGGCGGCACCUACCCCGCAUGCCCGGCACUCCCUGCCGCCCCUCUCUGCCGAUCUGCCCCGGCAGCCCCGGGGAGCCGGGGGGUCCCGG